GGUUGUUAAUGGACUGAAACAGAGAAUCCUGAAGCUGGAACAGCAGUGUAGAGAGAAGGAGAACACUGUGACCAAACUGCAGAGUGAGCUGCAGACCACUAAUCUGGAGGAGUUGAAGAUCACAGUGGAGACCUACUUUGAGGAGAUUCAGAGACUGAGGAUGAUAUUGGAUGUAACAGAGAAAAGGUACCGAAAGUUUAAGAAAAUGUACAUUUUAGUCACUUGGCAGAAGCUCGUAUCCAGAGCAAUUAGGGUUACGUGCUUUGCUCAAGGGCACAUGGACAGAUUAUUU
Oncorhynchus keta (chum salmon) is the source of this 292-nucleotide long non-coding RNA. RefSeq lists it as uncharacterized. The record is from RefSeq and is a predicted model, not a curated record. Lineage: Eukaryota; Metazoa; Chordata; Actinopteri; Salmoniformes; Salmonidae. The transcript is spliced from 3 exons.